UACGAAGGGGGCUAGCGUUGCUCGGAAUUACUGGGCGUAAAGCGCACGUAGGCGGCUUUCUAAGUCGGGGGUGAAAUCCUGGAGCUCAACUCCAGAACUGCCUUCGAUACUGGAAGCUCGAGUCCGGGAGAGGUGAGUGGAACUGCGAGUGUAGAGGUGAAAUUCGUAGAUAUUCGCAAGAACACCAGUGGCGAAGGCGGCUCACUGGCCCGGUACUGACGCUGAGGCACGAAAGCGUGGGUAGCAAACAGGG
This 253-nucleotide ribosomal RNA is filed under the name uncultured bacterium. RNAcentral describes it as "partial 16S ribosomal RNA". It matches the Rfam family "Bacterial small subunit ribosomal RNA", at positions 524 to 777 of the family's 1533-position model. The record is from RNAcentral.